UGAACUUAAGUUUGGAUGGAGUUGGAACGGCUACCUACGUUUGACGCUAGGGGCGCUGUUCCAACUGCAUACAAAUUUGAUUUA
Non-coding RNA from Bombyx mori (domestic silkworm), 84 nucleotides. Lineage: Eukaryota; Metazoa; Arthropoda; Insecta; Lepidoptera; Bombycidae. The record is from Rfam.